Molecule: ribosomal RNA, 158 nt
Filed under: Botrytis elliptica
Lineage: Eukaryota; Fungi; Ascomycota; Leotiomycetes; Helotiales; Sclerotiniaceae
Description: 5.8S ribosomal RNA
Source: RNAcentral
CUCAAUACCAAGCUAAGCUUGAGGGUUGAAAUGACGCUCGAACAGGCAUGCCCCCCGGAAUACCAAGGGGCGCAAUGUGCGUUCAAAGAUUCGAUGAUUCACUGAAUUCUGCAAUUCACAUUACUUAUCGCAUUUCGCUGCGUUCUUCAUCGAUGCCA